Molecule: ribosomal RNA, 404 nt
Filed under: uncultured bacterium
Lineage: Bacteria
Description: partial 16S ribosomal RNA
Rfam family: Bacterial small subunit ribosomal RNA
Source: RNAcentral
AUUUCCCGCUUUCUGCAUUCCUAACACAUGCAAGUCGAGCGAGCGGCGGACGGGUGAGUAAUGCCUGGGAAUUGCCCAGUCGAGGGGGAUAAAAGUUGGAAACGACUGCUAAUACCGCAUACGAUUGGAUUGCCCAGGUGGGAUUAGCUAGUUGGUGAGGUCCUGGCUCACCAAGGCGACGAUCCCUAGCUGGUCUGAGAGGAUGAUCAGCCACACUGGAACGGAGACACGGUCCAGACUCCGACGGGAGGCAGCAGUGGGGAAUAUUGCACAAUGGGGGAAACCCUGAUGCAGCCAUGCCGCGUGUGGGAAGAAGGCCUUCGGGUUGUAAAGCACUUUCAGCGAGGAGGCGUUACUCACAGAAGAAGCACCGGCUAACUCCGUGCCAGCAGCCGCGGUAAUUC